UAAAAAAUUACCGUUAAUUUACGGCCUAAUUUUACGGUACUGAACUGUUUUAUAAAUUUACAGUUUCUUGCCGUAAAUGGUUGCAUGAGUGGUGAGCGUGGGGGAGGAACUGCACUGAAAUUACUGAGUGGUAUGUGUUGGCCACUUAUUAAUAUGCAUUUUCUGUCUGGACUUGUAUUAUAAAGACUGAAUAAUUUUGAAACGUCAUCAGUAGAUGGCCAAGUACUGUUCCAAUUCAAAGUUAACUUCUAGCAAAGAACAGUUAAAAUCCUAUAUGUGUUCCUACAUCAUACCUUUAAUCGAGGACCCUUAUGAAAAUUAACCAUGUUGUCUUGCUUUAUUGAUUGGCAAAACAUGGUUUUACUACAGUAAACGUUUGUUUUGGACUGCAUAACUCCUUUAAUAUAACCAUAAAUAAUGUCAUAAAAGGUCUGUUCAUUCAAUAAACCGGGCAAAAUCUGUAUGAACGUAUACGUAGAAAUAAUAUUGAGGACACACUGCACGAUAAUGAAACCUUUAGUUUGAUUAAAAGUCGAUUAAUAUUUCUGUUUUUAUUAAAUAAAUAUUCUAUGUUGGCUCUAAACAGGCAACUUUCUUUCUUGGAAGCAGCACUGGAAGAAGCACUUUACUUUCAUCUUUUAUAUCUUUAUUUACUUUUAUUAUGUUAUUAUUGGCGGAGGCGCGUAAGGCGCGUGUCCGUAUACCGAAUGCUUUGAUCACGUGAUUAUUCAAACCAGGAGACGCGCAAUCUGGAUUAACCGCUGUUCUCCUCAGACGAGUGUUUCGGUGGUAUUAUGAGAUCCCUUUCUUGGUGUGUCUUGAUGUUUUAUAUUGGCUAAAGACAAGAUGUGUCUGCAAAUGCUGGUUCCAUGUCACAUUGCUUAUUCGAGACUAGAUCUACAAAUAACACUGCAGAUUUUGUUACCAUCAACUUGCAUUAUACAACUGACAGACUGAAACGGUUGGACUCAAAAAUCUACAUUUGUGUUCCACUGGAGAAACAAAGUCACCUACAUCUUGGAUGGCCUGGGGACUACCUGACCUGUUCCUGUUAAGAGCUAGUCACUCUUUGUGGAAUGUUCCUGGCCCAUUUUUCCCAAGUUUUCACAAAAGUUUUUUCAAUGACCUCAAAAUUGAUGUGUAA
Long non-coding RNA from Paramisgurnus dabryanus, 1144 nucleotides. RefSeq lists it as uncharacterized. The record is from RefSeq and is a predicted model, not a curated record. Lineage: Eukaryota; Metazoa; Chordata; Actinopteri; Cypriniformes; Cobitidae.